This 475-nucleotide ribosomal RNA is filed under the name Arthrobacter sp. l7. RNAcentral's name for it is "bacterial SSU rRNA". It matches the Rfam family "Bacterial small subunit ribosomal RNA", at positions 26 to 512 of the family's 1533-position model. Lineage: Bacteria; Bacillati; Actinomycetota; Actinomycetes; Micrococcales; Micrococcaceae. The record is from RNAcentral.
AGGAUGAACGCUGGCGGCGUGCUUAACACAUGCAAGUCGAACGAUGACUUUUGUGCUUGCACAGAAUGAUUAGUGGCGAACGGGUGAGUAACACGUGAGUAACCUGCCCCUGACUCUGGGAUAAGCCUGGGAAACUGGGUCUAAUACCGGAUAUGCACCGUGGACCGCAUGGUUCUUGGUGGAAAGAAUUUUGGUCAGGGAUGGACUCGCGGCCUAUCAGCUUGUUGGUGAGGUAAUGGCUCACCAAGGCGACGACGGGUAGCCGGCCUGAGAGGGUGACCGGCCACACUGGGACUGAGACACGGCCCAGACUCCUACGGGAGGCAGCAGUGGGGAAUAUUGCACAAUGGGCGAAAGCCUGAUGCAGCGACGCCGCGUGAGGGAUGACGGCCUUCGGGUUGUAAACCUCUUUCAGUAGGGAAGAAGCGAAAGUGACGGUACCUGCAGAAGAAGCGCCGGCUAACUACGUGCCAGC